CUUCCCAGAAAAUGUUUCCAGGCAGGUGGUGAGCAAAGUCAGGAAGGAAAACAACCACCUCAGGGAGAAGGGGAGACACAGGAGCUCUGUGACCUAAACUCUGGUGCAGAAUUCACCUGCUCUGCAAGCCUCUCCGUCCUCGAGAGAGGACUCUGAUGAAGGCUUGACCAGAGAGGAGUACAGAGAUGACCUCACUUGCCCACAAGUAACAUACUCCUAUUUAUAUGCUCAAGACUCAACAUGGUACCACACUGGAGUGCUGAUUCAUGGCUUACUGAUUAAGUUGUACUUGGCCUUUCCUGUAAAUAAGCAAAAAGAAAAGAGUUUCUAUUGUCCAUUUUGUAACCUCUUUGGGCUCUUCACCCAGAGAAAGCUUUCCUUCUAUAAAUGGGUCCCAGAUGUAUUGUGAUCUUUUCAGGAAGAAAGAAGCUGAGCUAUGGAGCUGCUCACACUCUAGAUGACAGGAGCUGCUGCAUCUAUCUGAGCAUGCAACCGCAUAUUUAUUUGCACGAAAUCGGCAAGUUGCUACUUGAACCAGGUUGGCAGGUGAGCAAUAAGCCAGGGGAAAAACUAUAGUUGGUCACAAUGAGAGCAUUGAGGCUGAAGCUGAGGCCCUGGGAUGGGGGCAUAUGCCAAAUUCAAGGAGGCCUUUUUGCAACUGGCCUAGGUGGAAAGGCUAGGAGGCCAGUCAAACCCAGUCUUAAAGCCUAAUGCGAUAGGAAUUGGGGAUAAAAGGCCUAGGAGGGCUGUGGCAAACAACCUUUUGUUAGUGAAUGAAGAAAAAUUUCUGUGACUGGAGUGAAAAGUUAUCCUUUUCGUAUCUAUCACCUGAACUUCAAAUGCUCAGACCAGGUGCCAACACACUACUUGCCUUCAGCAACUUCAGCACAAAAACAGUGACCUUUGCCAUCUGUGCACCUUCCUGGCCCUUGGUACCCCUUCCCUCUCUAGCAGUCCCCUUACUCUCCAGGAGAUCUCUUGACUGGCCAUGUGCUCACCAGUAGUGCACCCCUUCCCACUCCACCCUUCACACCACCUAGCCUCAGGGCUGCCUGGCUUGGGCGGUCCUCUUCAGUGAAGGGAGCCACUCACAUAAGCACUUAGAAGGGGCUGCAAAGGAGGAGCCGCAGGGGGUGGAGAGGCUCCGUUACCUUCUGCCUCUGGAACACAUGAGUUAGGGGUGCCACCUGGCAAUCCUUGUGUGCCCCAAAGACCUUGCACAGAGAGCAGGUGGGCACUUCACAGUUCAGACAGUAGAUGUUGAUGCGUUCUUCUUCAUGCUCCUCACACAUGGGCUGGUCAGACUUCUUUUCUGGUCUGGGAGGAGGUAAGCAGAUAAAUGUGUCAGCUCCCAUGGGGCCAAAGCAGGGAGGGGUGAUUAGCAUUGCUAUUCCAGAAAACUCCCACAGUACCUUUCUUGUGCUCAGAGCCCUCAAAAUUUAGUUGCCCUGAGGGCUUAGCAGUGGUGUGCUGAUAGAUGUCCAGCAACCAGCCUGGCAUAGGGGGUAGGACUUGGACACUCUGAUCUGUAGUAUUUGACAAUUUCUGUGGUGAGUGUUCCCAUCAUGGCUGAUUUCAAGUUAUUGAGGGUUCCACACAUGGCUAGUGAAAUUCCUGAAAGUUGACCACUGGAUUUUUGUGUUAGGAGGGUGAUCCAGGACUCUCUCCAUACACUCAAGUCUCUUGAGAUACUUUCCAAUUAUGGCAAAAGAGGGAGAAGUUGUUGGUAAAUGAAAUCCCAAGUUUCCUCCAGCUUGGCAGAAGCGCUAGAUCCCAACUCUCCAACCUCAGGCAAACACCUUUCCCACCGAAAGGAGAAGGGAGAGGAGCCCAGAUCUCCGGUUAUUAGUUUAGGCACUAGUGGGAAGUACCUUUGUGUAAGAAGGAAAAUAUCAGCAUGCAUGUCAUUAAUUUGUUUGAGUCUCUUUCUGCCAUUCAGAAAAUUAAAUGUAAAUAAUUUCCUGAGUGAGGACUUGGCACGGACUGAGAGUGGGUAGUUUGUACUCAGUGAAGGGGCACAAUGCUUUAAGCAAUAAGAAAAAUGCAAAAUGCUGUUCUGGGAGGUGGUGGUAACCUUGGAAAUAAGGAUUUUACAGAUAAUCCUCAAGUUUCAGUUUUUCCGACAGCUCAGCAUCAGCCAAAACUUUCUGAAACUGCAACAGGUAAUAAUGGAGCGUUGGAUUUGUGUAUGUUAGUGAGAUGAUAACCAAGGGAUGAGGAAUUGAAAACACGAAAUGGGAGUGACAAGUCAUUGCUAUUUAAGAAUAACCUAUUAGCUGUAGAAUCACCUGAAGUGGCCGAAGGUACAGCACAUGGUAGGACCCUGUCUAUUUCCCUGAUGAUCAGCAUGGCUUAUGUAUUAUGAUCAAGAUCAAAAUUACACCAAAUCAGGGCAGCCCUGGUGGCUCAGUGGUUUAGUGCUGCCUUUAGCUCAGGGCCUGAUCCUGGAGAC
This is a long non-coding RNA of Canis lupus familiaris (dog), 2452 nucleotides long. RefSeq lists it as uncharacterized. The transcript is spliced from 3 exons. Lineage: Eukaryota; Metazoa; Chordata; Mammalia; Carnivora; Canidae. The record is from RefSeq and is a predicted model, not a curated record.